RNAcentral lists this ribosomal RNA (669 nucleotides) under uncultured Bacteroidales bacterium. Its description in RNAcentral is "bacterial SSU rRNA". It matches the Rfam family "Bacterial small subunit ribosomal RNA", at positions 71 to 734 of the family's 1533-position model. Lineage: Bacteria; Pseudomonadati; Bacteroidota; Bacteroidia; Bacteroidales. The record is from RNAcentral.
UCAGUUUGCUUGCAAACUGGAGAUGGCGACCGGCGCACGGGUGAGUAACACGUAUCCAACCUGCCGAUAACUCGGGGAUAGCCUUUCGAAAGAAAGAUUAAUACCCGAUGGUAUAAUCAGACCGCAUGGUCUUGUUAUUAAAGAAUUUCGGUUAUCGAUGGGGAUGCGUUCCAUUAGGCAGUUGGUGAGGUAACGGCUCACCAAACCUUCGAUGGAUAGGGGUUCUGAGAGGAAGGUCCCCCACAUUGGAACUGAGACACGGUCCAAACUCCUACGGGAGGCAGCAGUGAGGAAUAUUGGUCAAUGGGCGCAGGCCUGAACCAGCCAAGUAGCGUGAAGGAUGACUGCCCUAUGGGUUGUAAACUUCUUUUAUAUGGGAAUAAAGUUUUCCACGUGUGGAAUUUUGUAUGUACCAUAUGAAUAAGGAUCGGCUAACUCCGUGCCAGCAGCCGCGGUAAUACGGAGGAUCCGAGCGUUAUCCGGAUUUAUUGGGUUUAAAGGGAGCGUAGGUGGACAGUUAAGUCAGUUGUGAAAGUUUGCGGCUCAACCGUAAAAUUGCAGUUGAUACUGGCUGUCUUGAGUACAGUAGAGGUGGGCGGAAUUCGUGGUGUAGCGGUGAAAUGCUUAGAUAUCACGAAGAACUCCGAUUGCGAAGGCAGCUCACUGGAC